CCUACGGGAGGCAGCAGUGAGGAAUCUUGCGCAAUGGGGGAAACCUUGACGCAGCGACGCCGCGUGAGCGAUGAAGGCCUUCGGGUCGUAAAGCUCUGUCAGGUGGGAAGAAACGCCGUUGGGUGAAUAGCCCUUCGGCCUGACGGUACCACCAGAGGAAGCACCGGCCAACUCCGUGCCAGCAGCCGCGGUAAUACGGAGGGUGCAAGCGUUGUUCGGAAUCAUUGGGCGUAAAGGGCGCGUAGGCGGUCCGGUAAGUCGGGUGUAAAAGCCCCGGGCUCAACCCGGGAAGUGCAUUCGAAACUGCCGGACUUGAGUACGGGAGGGGGAAGUGGAAUUCCUGGUGUAGGGGUGAAAUCCGUAGAUAUCAGGAGGAACACCGGUGGCGAAGGCGACUUCCGGGACCGAUACUGACGCUGAGGCGCGAAAGCGUGGGGAGCAAACAGGAUUAGAUCCCCCGGUAGU
Molecule: ribosomal RNA, 465 nt
Filed under: uncultured delta proteobacterium
Lineage: Bacteria; Deltaproteobacteria
Description: partial 16S ribosomal RNA
Rfam family: Bacterial small subunit ribosomal RNA
Source: RNAcentral